Molecule: ribosomal RNA, 1811 nt
Filed under: Escherichia coli
Lineage: Bacteria; Pseudomonadati; Pseudomonadota; Gammaproteobacteria; Enterobacterales; Enterobacteriaceae
Description: partial 23S ribosomal RNA
Rfam family: Bacterial large subunit ribosomal RNA
Source: RNAcentral
GCGGGACACGUGGUAUCCUGUCUGAAUAUGGGGGGACCAUCCUCCAAGGCUAAAUACUCCUGACUGACCGAUAGUGAACCAGUACCGUGAGGGAAAGGCGAAAAGAACCCCGGCGAGGGGAGUGAAAAAGAACCUGAAACCGUGUACGUACAAGCAGUGGGAGCCUCUUAAUGGGGUGACUGCGUACCUUUUGUAUAAUGGGUCAGCGACUUAUAUUCUGUAGCAAGGUUAACCGAAUAGGGGAGCCGAAGGGAAACCGAGUCUUAACUGGGCGUUAAGUUGCAGGGUAUAGACCCGAAACCCGGUGAUCUAGCCAUGGGCAGGUUGAAGGUUGGGUAACACUAACUGGAGGACCGAACCGACUAAUGUUGAAAAAUUAGCGGAUGACUUGUGGCUGGGGGUGAAAGGCCAAUCAAACCGGGAGAUAGCUGGUUCUCCCCGAAAGCUAUUUAGGUAGCGCCUCGUGAAUUCAUCUCCGGGGGUAGAGCACUGUUUCGGCAAGGGGGUCAUCCCGACUUACCAACCCGAUGCAAACUGCGAAUACCGGAGAAUGUUAUCACGGGAGACACACGGCGGGUGCUAACGUCCGUCGUGAAGAGGGAAACAACCCAGACCGCCAGCUAAGGUCCCAAAGUCAUGGUUAAGUGGGAAACGAUGUGGGAAGGCCCAGACAGCCAGGAUGUUGGCUUAGAAGCAGCCAUCAUUUAAAGAAAGCGUAAUAGCUCACUGGUCGAGUCGGCCUGCGCGGAAGAUGUAACGGGGCUAAACCAUGCACCGAAGCUGCGGCAGCGACACUAUGUGUUGUUGGGUAGGGGAGCGUUCUGUAAGCCUGUGAAGGUGGCCUGUGAGGGUUGCUGGAGGUAUCAGAAGUGCGAAUGCUGACAUAAGUAACGAUAAAGCGGGUGAAAAGCCCGCUCGCCGGAAGACCAAGGGUUCCUGUCCAACGUUAAUCGGGGCAGGGUGAGUCGACCCCUAAGGCGAGGCCGAAAGGCGUAGUCGAUGGGAAACAGGUUAAUAUUCCUGUACUUGGUGUUACUGCGAAGGGGGGACGGAGAAGGCUAUGUUGGCCGGGCGACGGUUGUCCCGGUUUAAGCGUGUAGGCUGGUUUUCCAGGCAAAUCCGGAAAACCAAGGCUGAGGCGUGAUGACGAGGCACUACGGUGCUGAAGCGACAAAUGCCCUGCUUCCAGGAAAAGCCUCUAAGCAUCAGGUAACAUCAAAUCGUACCCCAAACCGACACAGGUGGUCAGGUAGAGAAUACCAAGGCGCUUGAGAGAACUCGGGUGAAGGAACUAGGCAAAAUGGUGCCGUAACUUCGGGAGAAGGCACGCUGAUAUGUAGGUGAAGCGACUUGCUCGUGGAGCUGAAAUCAGUCGAAGAUACCAGCUGGCUGCAACUGUUUAUUAAAAACACAGCACUGUGCAAACACGAAAGUGGACGUAUACGGUGUGACGCCUGCCCGGUGCCGGAAGGUUAAUUGAUGGGGUUAGCGGUAACGCGAAGCUCUUGAUCGAAGCCCCGGUAAACGGCGGCCGUAACUAUAACGGUCCUAAGGUAGCGAAAUUCCUUGUCGGGUAAGUUCCGACCUGCACGAAUGGCGUAAUGAUGGCCAGGCUGUCUCCACCCGAGACUCAGUGAAAUUGAACUCGCUGUGAAGAUGCAGUGUACCCGCGGCAAGACGGAAAGACCCCGUGAACCUUUACUAUAGCUUGACACUGAACAUUGAGCCUUGAUGUGUAGGAUAGGUGGGAGGCUUUGAAGUGUGGACGCCAGUCUGCAUGGAGCCGACCUUGAAAUACCACCCUUUAAUGU